RNAcentral lists this long non-coding RNA (3160 nucleotides) under Amborella trichopoda. RNAcentral describes it as "long non-coding RNA (ATRI_LNC003962)". The record is from RNAcentral. Lineage: Eukaryota; Viridiplantae; Streptophyta; Magnoliopsida; Amborellales; Amborellaceae.
UCAGACUCCAAAAAUUUCUAUUACAACGAGUUCAAGGCACAACAGACCUGAUCACAAAAAUUCCAGAAUUCUUCAAAAUACAUUUUCACAUAUCCACCAGCCACCUACCGCCAAAAGAGUCACCAACUGGAACUUUAAGCUUCAAAAUGCCUGCCACCACCGUCCAGUUGUCCAUGCUCGUGUAUUAUCCUCACUCUACACAAAGGGGAAAAAGAGGGGUAUGAGCUAAAUGCUCAAUAAGUGAAUCAGUACCCUUGCAUUCCAACCUAGAUGCACUCAUAAAGGAUAACAGACCCACAACUAUCACAAUUCAUGCAGGAUCACAGAAUACAAUCAUACAUCGAUAUCUACAGACAGAGUGAGCAGAAACAGUUUUGAUCUCAAGGCUUUCCAUGUUUCAUGAACUAAACAGUCAUACAGACAUUUAUCACUAUCACAUAGCUAAAGCUUGGCUAGAGCAUACAGUUCCGACAGACAAAAAUUAAUAAGGCCUACUCCCAAAGUAGAAGUAACAUUGAUCAGGUUAAGCCAGUCCUGUAACUUGGGACAUCUACUCUCCUUCAGGAGGGAGGACAAUGACAAGUGGGGGACCACUUCGUAAUGUCAUCACUCACGCACAUAGUCCUCAGCAUGUUUUGGGGUUUACGAUAGGUUGAGGCCUUGCAAGACAUGACUCUCUCCUUGUACCUUCAGGCGAGAGGGUGUUACACUACCAUUGGAAGACCCAAUGCUUAGUGCCCACAAUAGAGUGGGGGGAGUGACCCUACCAGUUAUUUGCAGUUACAUCUCGACUCUACUUCUGUCAUAGGAGUCAAGAUACAGUAUACCCCACUACCAAUGGAGGACCCAUUGCGUAGCAGGCAGUAAUCAGAAUUACAGUACCCACUACCAAUGGAGGAUCCAUUGCAUAGUGGUUAGGAUCAGAAUCUGAAUCACAUAACAGAAAUACCGUAUCCACUACCAAUGGAGGACCCAUUGCGUAGUGGCAUGAAUCAAAAUCAGAUAAUAGAGAUACAAUAACCGCUACCAAUGGAGGACCCAUUGCGUAGUGGCCAGAAUCAGAAUCAAAAUCAUAAGCAUAACCAGAUAAUAGAAAUACAAUAUCCACUACCAAUGGAUGACCCAUUACGUAGUGGCCAGAAUCAAAAUUAGAAUCAUAAGUAGAAUCAGAUAACACAUAGUGGCCAGAUUCAAAAUCAGAAUCAUAAGUAGAAUCAAAUAACAGAGAUAUAGUAUCCACUACUAAUGGAGGACCCAUUGCGUAGUGGCCAGAAUCAGAAUCAGAAUCAUAAGAAGAAUCAAAUAACAGAGAUAUAGUAUCCACUACCAAUGGAGGACCCAUUGCGUAUUGCCCAGAAUCAUAAUCAAAAUCAUAUAGUUAUCACACCUAGUACAUGCAUGCUUAAACAUUCACUCAUUCACAUUUCACUCUUUUUAAGAGGUCAGGACCAUUCAUGGUAUCAUAAGUAUGCCAUUUCAGUAUCUUAUAAUAGACAACUUCAAUCAUCUUGCAAAAUAAUCAAGCCAUAUUCAACAUAUCGGUGCAUAGCAGAUGUAUGAUCUACGCAACGACUAAGAAUUCAUUGUAAUUCUUAUCAGAAAUAUGCAUGUACAAGGUGAGACAUAACAUCCAACUUAUGAGGGAAAUUUACUUCAUUUCAAUUGCUCUUUCAUAGUGGGUAUGAGCCUCCCUCAAUCACAGGAAGUAUGAAGCUUAAUUAAGCCUGACCAAUUCAGGGUUAAUAUAGAAUCCUGAGAUUUUGAAAUGUCAUAUUGGGGUAUGUUUCAUAAACAGGGAUAUAAACAUCAAUUUUAUAUGGAAUUUCAAUAUAAUUCCAAAACAAACAUUCAAGUUAACAUUAUUAGCUUUCAUGUGAAAGUAAUUUGAGAGCAUUUGGACCCCAUUUGGUCCGUCAAAAUCUUAAGGUAGCAGAAGCAAUAGUUAUAGAAAUUGCUGAGUUUGGUCAUCAGCGAUGUAUUCUCAUAAUUUGAUGUAUAACUCUUGAGUUAAAAAUAAUUUCAAAAUUAUUUCAACAUGUGAAUUUAAAAGGACACAUAUACCUUUUAAAUUACAGCGGUUUGAAGGAAAUUUAAAUCCAUUCGUUCAUUUAAAACUUAUAAAAACAGGAACAAAAAUUCUGAGUUUUCUGUAAUCUGUCAAUAGUGACAUAUCCACAUACUUUGAAACACAACUCUUAAAUUAUGUUGAAUUUGGAUAAUGUUAAAAUAUGAAACUCACAGUAAACUCGUGAAUAUUUCAAAUGGAUGUGGCUAUGAAUCAUUUGGACUUCAAUUGGUCAAACAAAACCAGUGCAACUAGAGUAAUAUUUCUAAAAUUUACACAGUCUGUAAAAAGUGACAUAGGUGCAUAAAAUGAAGUACAACUUUCAAAAUAUUCAGAAUUUCAAUUGGACCCAAACAUGAAGAUUAAAAUAGACUCAGAGACCUUUCUAAUGGUGCUGAUUUGAGGAAAUUCAGAUACCAUUUGUUUGUCCAAUAAUGUAUUACAAAAUCAUGCACAGUCCCUAGAUUUUCAUGUCACAGUCAUAGCAUGCCCCAAAGAUUUAUUCAUAGCUUCCAACUUUCAUUAGAAAUCAGCAUGCAAUCCUUUCUAACACAUAAUAGAUACAUAUGCCCCCUUAAUUCACAAGUUUCCCCCAAUAAUUUGAAGAGUUUCAUCACUCAUUCAUCAUAUAAAGGCAAACUAUUGUUGCUGAAAAUUCAUAACAGAACAGUGUGCAUAUAGUGUCAUUCUUCACACCCUAUUAAUGCUCACCACCUGCUUAUUCUAGGAUCAAAAUCAUGCUUGAUUCAUGUUCAAUUCAUGCUAUGAAAUAGCAAGGUAAGGAUCCAUUUACUUUAACAACAAAAGUGCACUCCAAUCCUUCCAUGCACAGCCACUUCAAACUCCUCCACAGGGGCUCCAACAAUGAGGUAGAGGGAGCUUCUUCCAAGAUUCCUCAAAUUUCUCUUUGAGAGAGAGAGAGACCAGAGAGAUGAGAAGGAGUGGAGAGCAUGAGGGUGAGAGGGAAAGAGAGGGAGAGAGAGAGCUGGGUGGGUUUAAAAGAAAUAAGGAGAAGGGGGAGGUGAGGUGGCAGCAAGCCACCUCCAAGUGUCAUAGGGAAGGCAGCAAGUGGCACAAGGAGGGCACAAGUGGCAC